GCCCGGGUGGUGGAAUCGGUAUACACAGCGGACUUAAAAUCCGUGCCUUUUGGCAUGCGGGUUCGAGCCCCGCCCCGGGCACCA
RNAcentral lists this transfer RNA (84 nucleotides) under Candidatus Saccharimonadota bacterium. Its description in RNAcentral is "tRNA-Leu". It matches the Rfam family "tRNA". Rfam says of the family: Transfer RNA (tRNA) molecules are approximately 80 nucleotides in length. Their secondary structure includes four short double-helical elements and three loops (D, anti-codon, and T loops). Further hydrogen bonds mediate the characteristic L-shaped molecular structure. tRNAs have two regions of fundamental functional importance: the anti-codon, which is responsible for specific mRNA codon recognition, and the 3' end, to which the tRNAs corresponding amino acid is attached (by aminoacyl-tRNA synthetases). tRNAs cope with the degeneracy of the genetic code in two manners: having more than one tRNA (with a specific anti-codon) for a particular amino acid; and 'wobble' base-pairing, i.e. permitting non-standard base-pairing at the 3rd anti-codon position. Lineage: Bacteria; Candidatus Saccharimonadota. The record is from RNAcentral.